Molecule: ribosomal RNA, 788 nt
Filed under: uncultured Actinomycetes bacterium
Lineage: Bacteria; Bacillati; Actinomycetota; Actinomycetes
Description: bacterial SSU rRNA
Rfam family: Bacterial small subunit ribosomal RNA
Source: RNAcentral
GGCUUAUACAUGCAAGUCAAGGGGUAGCAAUACACCGGCGUACGGGUGCGUAACGCGUAUGGAACCUGCCCUUAUCUGGGGGAUAACUCGGGGAAACUCGAGCUAAUACCGCAUAAGAUAGUAAAGAGGCAUCUCUUAGCUAUUAAAGAUUUAUCGGAUAAGGAUGGCCAUGCGUAAGAUUAGAUAGUUGGCGAGGUAACGGCUCACCAAGUCUACGAUCUUUAGGGGCUCUGAGAGGAGAAUCCCCCACACUGGAACUGAGACACGGUCCAGACUCCUACGGGAGGCAGCAGUGGGGAAUAUUGGACAAUGGGGGCAACCCUGAUCCAGCAAUGCCGCGUGAGUGAAGAAGGCCUUCGGGUUGUAAAGCUCUUUUAUCAGGGACGAUAAUGACGGUACCUGAGGAAUAAGCUCCGGCUAACUACGUGCCAGCAGCCGCGGUAAUACGUAGGGCGCAAGCGUUGUCCGGAAUUAUUGGGCGUAAAGAGCUCGUAGGCGGUUGGUCGCGUCUGCUGUGAAAUCCCGAGGCUCAACCUCGGGCCUGCAGUGGGUACGGGCCAACUAGAGUGCGGUAGGGGAGAUCGGAAUUCCUGGUGUAGCGGUGGAAUGCGCAGAUAUCAGGAGGAACACCAAUGGCGAAGGCACAUCUCUGGGCCGUAACUGACGCUGAGGAGCGAAAGCGUGGGGAGCAAACAGGAUUAGAUACCCUGGUAGUCCACGCCGUAAACGGUGGGUGCUAGCUGUGGGCCACAUUCCACGUGGUCCGUAACGAAGUUAACACAUUAAGC